Long non-coding RNA from Micropterus dolomieu (smallmouth bass), 1772 nucleotides. RefSeq lists it as uncharacterized. NCBI's taxonomy places the organism in Eukaryota, Metazoa, Chordata, Actinopteri, Centrarchiformes, Centrarchidae. The transcript is spliced from 3 exons. The record is from RefSeq and is a predicted model, not a curated record.
UGUGUCUUCUGUGUUCUCAAUCUGACAAACUGGUACUGACCGACUGUCAGGCUGACUUGAAUAUAAACAAUGACAAAUGGGUGGGCACACUGUUCUUCUCUGCAUUCAAGGAAUCCAGGACAGUAUCAGGGAGCAAUUCCAACACAAUUUACUGGGCAUGAACAUUAGACUGCCAGAACCAGGCCAGAGCCCCUGCCUUCCCAACACAACAACUCUGGUCAACUAAUGCACAGGGGAGGAGAAGACAUCAGGGACGGCUUUGCUUUCAGUGCUGUUUGUCCUCUCAGCUGCCUCCCUGCCAGCCAGCGCUGCCUCUUCCACUCCCCUACUCCUCCUGCUAUUCUGGCCAAGCUACGCCACAACUGUACCACAUGCCAUGUCUGCUUGAUGUGUGAACAAAGCUCGGAGGGACUGAGGCAAAAAUGGACCUGUUAAGUGAGUCGGACCCAGUCAGGCGGGACGGCUGGAAAUGUCUUCCCCUUUGAUUCCCUCGGGAACAGAGACGAAAAACAAAUGGAGUCUGACUCCCUUAUUUUCUCAAGGUCCUGGAAGUGACCUGCCGCCGCUGCAGAACACGAGCGGGAGGCCUGAUGUUUGCCGCCUGGCCGCCGAGCUGUCCAGCGGUCUGUCAGCCCGCCACAAUUGAAAGGACCCCUCAACCCUCCUCCUUCCUCAUCCCCAUUCAAUCCCAGCCACAGACCACAGCACAGCCUGCUCCGUGGCACUGCUGACAACUCAGUCAGCCUUCUCACACAGUGAUGACCCAGUGAGUAAUUGGUCGAUAGAAGUCGGCAGACAUCGACUCGUGUGGCUUUGCAGGUGGUGAUGACUCAUUGUGUGUUUGCCCUCACUCUCAGUGCUGUGGACAUACAUGCCUGCUCCAAGAAAAAUACAGGAUCCUGAGGGAUAUUCUCAGAGAAGUAAAAAUAGCCAAUGAAUAAUUAAUGCAACAAUAAUGGCACACAUGCACUCACAUUAAUCUAAUCAUUCCGCAGCGGGAAUGUGUACAUAAUAAGGAUAUUAUCUGUCUGCAGUGUGGCUGCCAGCAGGCUCAGCUUAUUUGGCUGGCAGCUAACAGAGGAGUUUGGCCACCAGUUAUCACACCGCUGCAUCUUAGCAACUUAGCUAAUACUGGCAGACGAAUACAGGAUUUCCAUCUUAACACACCAUUGCAUUAAGUCCGAAUUCAGCAUUGUGUUAAUGAUUUUGAUUCUGAUCCAGAUCCUAAGAGAGACAAAGAAAGAAGCGGGGAGAGAGGGAGGGAGGGGGAGUUACAGGUAGCAGUUAAAACAUGUUUUUUCUGCACAACACACAUGUUGCUCCUCUGUUCUGCGCUAUUUAUUACAUACCAGAUUAGAGAGUGAGACACAAUAUUAGGUGCAUUGUCAAUACUAAGAAUAUUGAUUUCAAACACACUCAGUGUUUCAUCAAUCCAAUAUCCUGAUUCACAGGCAGGGCCUAAGUGUCAUAAUUGGCACAAACUGGUUGUAUAAGUUAUUGAACGCAUGAGAUGACAGGGACAGGUGGUUUGUCAGCCCUUUGUCACAAAUUCUUGCAGCUCAUAACCUUCUAUGCAGUUAGUUUCUGCUUUCAUGUUAUUUUACUAACUCUAAUGUCCCUGUUCCCUCCUGGCUGGCCAUCACCCCACUCCCCUCACCUGGUUAUCCCCAUCUAUCUGAGUCAUGCUUCUGGUUUCACAUCUGCCACUUUCUUGAUAAAUGUUACGUUCUUGCCAACACUUUCUGAAGAAACAUGUUAGUGUAGGAAAUUGU